GCCCUUGUAGUUCAAUGGAUAGAACAGAUCCGUCCUAAGGAUAAAAUGGGGGUUCGAUUCCCUCCAAGGGCA
Molecule: transfer RNA, 72 nt
Filed under: Candidatus Harrisonbacteria bacterium CG10_big_fil_rev_8_21_14_0_10_40_38
Lineage: Bacteria; Candidatus Harrisoniibacteriota
Description: tRNA-Arg
Rfam family: tRNA
About the family: Transfer RNA (tRNA) molecules are approximately 80 nucleotides in length. Their secondary structure includes four short double-helical elements and three loops (D, anti-codon, and T loops).
Source: RNAcentral